RNAcentral lists this ribosomal RNA (440 nucleotides) under uncultured bacterium. RNAcentral describes it as "bacterial SSU rRNA". It matches the Rfam family "Bacterial small subunit ribosomal RNA", at positions 338 to 795 of the family's 1533-position model. The record is from RNAcentral.
CCUACGGGAGGCUGCAGUGGGGAAUAUUGGACAAUGGGCGAAAGCCUGAUCCAGCAAUGCCGCGUGAGUGAUGAAGGCCUUAGGGUUGUAAAGCUCUUUUACCAGGGAUGAUAAUGACAGUACCUGGAGAAUAAGCUCCGGCUAACUCCGUGCCAGCAGCCGCGGUAAUACGGAGGGAGCUAGCGUUGUUCGGAAUUACUGGGCGUAAAGCGCACGUAGGCGGCCAUUCAAGUCAGAGGUGAAAGCCCGGGGCUCAACCCCGGAACUGCCUUUGAAACUAGAUGGCUUGAAUCUUGGAGAGGCGAGUGGAAUUCCGAGUGUAGAGGUGAAAUUCGUAGAUAUUCGGAAGAACACCAGUGGCGAAGGCGACUCGCUGGACAAGUAUUGACGCUGAGGUGCGAAAGCGUGGGGAGCAAACAGGAUUAGAUACCCCGGUAGUC